CAGUUGAGCCCCCCUGUCCUUCAAAGUCUGGACCGCCCCUGGUCUAGUUAGAGGCCUUCUCUGAUCGGUGUCUCUGACUUCAUGCAAGGUGCAAACCGGCUAGCCCAGGCUGCUGAUGUCUCUGGUUCCACCGGCUGAUUUCAGGGAAGAACAGUUCUUGUUCCAGGGAUUAGUCGAGGCCUGCUCUCAUCCUCUCCUCAGUCUCCACUUUCAUACAUCGGUUGAGCUGAUUCUCUGUCGUCCUUGCCUCUGGUCUGCAGAUGCAUGACUCUCCUGCUGGUGGCAGUGAAGGCUCUCUAAC
Long non-coding RNA from Notolabrus celidotus (New Zealand spotty), 301 nucleotides. RefSeq lists it as uncharacterized. NCBI's taxonomy places the organism in Eukaryota, Metazoa, Chordata, Actinopteri, Labriformes, Labridae. The transcript has 3 exons. The record is from RefSeq and is a predicted model, not a curated record.